UUGAACGCUGGCGGCAGGCCUAACACAUGCAAGUCGAGCGGAUGAAGGGAGCUUGCUCCUGGAUUCAGCGGCGGACGGGUGAGUAAUGCCUAGGAAUCUGCCUGGUAGUGGGGGAUAACGUCCGGAAACGGGCGCUAAUACCGCAUACGUCCUGAGGGAGAAAGUGGGGGAUCUUCGGACCUCACGCUAUCAGAUGAGCCUAGGUCGGAUUAGCUAGUUGGUGGGGUAAAGGCCUACCAAGGCGACGAUCCGUAACUGGUCUGAGAGGAUGAUCAGUCACACUGGAACUGAGACACGGUCCAGACUCCUACGGGAGGCAGCAGUGGGGAAUAUUGGACAAUGGGCGAAAGCCUGAUCCAGCCAUGCCGCGUGUGUAAAGAAGGUCUUCGGAUUGUAAAGCACUUUAAGUUGGGAGGAAGGGCAGUAAGUUAAUACCUUGCUGUUUUGACGUUACCAACAGAAUAAGCACCGGCUAACUUCGUG
Molecule: ribosomal RNA, 483 nt
Filed under: uncultured bacterium
Lineage: Bacteria
Description: partial 16S ribosomal RNA
Rfam family: Bacterial small subunit ribosomal RNA
Source: RNAcentral